CUAUGUCGAACUGUCCAAUUUCUUCAAGAAAGAAAUGUUAAUGUUGUUAUCCGUGAUGAGCGUGACCUUAAUGUCAUCCGUGUUCGAGAGGCAAAAGAAAAGGAAAUUGCCAAGGCAUUGUUGAAGAAAAACGAAAAGACCAUCGUUUUGGGCAAGGGAAAGGAAAAUGCAUGUUCAGUACUAUGGCUCUUCAACAUUUCCAUUUAAAGUUCUUUUUUUGAAAUAUUUAUUUUGGA
Non-coding RNA from Camellia sinensis, 236 nucleotides. The record is from RefSeq and is a predicted model, not a curated record. NCBI's taxonomy places the organism in Eukaryota, Viridiplantae, Streptophyta, Magnoliopsida, Ericales, Theaceae.